This is a non-coding RNA of Gossypium hirsutum (cotton), 144 nucleotides long. The record is from Rfam. NCBI's taxonomy places the organism in Eukaryota, Viridiplantae, Streptophyta, Magnoliopsida, Malvales, Malvaceae.
UGUUAAAAAAUUUAUCCAUUUUUACUGUUAAAAACUUUCAUGGCUAACAAAAUAACCAAAUAGUUACACGUGGCACGCCACAUAUACCUCAUUUUGAGGUAUAAGGACUAGUUUUAACAAUAGAAAUGGAUAGACUUUUUAACU